UGCUGCUCUCUUCCAGCUUCACCAACACUCCCGAUUCUGGCCUCACAGCAACACAAGGACAAAGAACCCGGAGAAUCAACGUGACUGCGCGUUUGGGAAGAGGACAUAAGAGUGAACAUAGACAUAAUAUGAGUAGACCCCGCAUUGACAGUUGCUGCGCAGGAAUUACGGCCGCCAUCUUGGAGCAGUUGAACUGCUACCCAAAUUCUCCUGAUUUAAGAUGAACAGACGAAUAAUGCCUCAGCACUGUGUGGCGUAAUUGUAUUUGAAUCGACGGACUAUUGACGUCAGGGCUCGAGGGAUAACUUUUCACAAUGUGUCAUGUUUUGAUUCAUCCGAAUCCCUGCCGCUCAGAUUUUGCUCUGGCAUCUCCACUCAUACUCCCUUGGUGGUACCAAGCCGGGCGUGAGAACCCCCUCCCUGGAUUUACCUGGUUCGUCUGGACACACUCCGGUUCUUCCAGCUGUUCUUCCUGCCUGCCGCCACAGUUGUGCUGUUCUGGCCCCCCGCCUGUAUUACAUCUGCCAGCCCUCCUGUCACCCAGCCAACAUCUUCCAUCAGAGAGUUAUGGUCACAUGGUACCUUUUUCACUCAUCCCCCCCGGACAGGUCUCCCCAACCAAACGUCGUUCCUGCUGUGACGUUCAGACUCCGCCUGUCGCACACAGCAUGUGCUUUUCCUUUGUUGUGCCUGAAAAUAAACAACCUAAAAACUG
Fundulus heteroclitus (mummichog) is the source of this 715-nucleotide long non-coding RNA. RefSeq lists it as uncharacterized. The transcript has 3 exons. NCBI's taxonomy places the organism in Eukaryota, Metazoa, Chordata, Actinopteri, Cyprinodontiformes, Fundulidae. The record is from RefSeq and is a predicted model, not a curated record.